UCCAGGGUAUCCUAAUGGACAUGGCAUCUGUCUGGUAAGCGGUAAACUGAGGGUUCGUUUCCCAUCCCUGGAC
This is a non-coding RNA of Cordylochernes scorpioides, 73 nucleotides long. The record is from the annotation of a GenBank genome assembly. Lineage: Eukaryota; Metazoa; Arthropoda; Arachnida; Pseudoscorpiones; Chernetidae.